This 397-nucleotide long non-coding RNA is filed under the name Homo sapiens (human). RNAcentral describes it as "non-protein coding lnc-METTL5-4:160". Lineage: Eukaryota; Metazoa; Chordata; Mammalia; Primates; Hominidae. The record is from RNAcentral.
GGUGUUACCUGGGCCAGGUGGGGAAGGUUUGUUUGCAGAGCAAAGAAGUGAAGGAAGUAUUAACCCUUUGCAUGGCCUCCUGAGAAUCCGACAAGACGUAAAUAGCCAAGAAUAUCUGUGAAACUUCAUCACUGAGUUACAAUAUUUAUCACUGCAAGUGUGUUGUUCAUUGACACUAUAAAGCCAUGUGGAAUUAAGCAGCCUUGAAACACAAAAUGGAGAAAGGCUAAGAGCUGAGAAUUGUUGCCUUCAGGGAAAUACAAUCAAUGUCAAGCAAACAACCACCCCAAAAUGGUUAGCUUUAUCAGCAUUCAGGCCUACAGUGAACGCAAAUGUUCCAGAUCUGAGUUUCAAUUUUUAAAGAAUAAACAUAUGCAAAUGACCAUUAGUCUUAGUA